UACGGAGGGUGCAAGCGUUGUUCGGAAUUACUGGGCGUAAAGGGCGCGUAGGCGGUUGCCUAAGUCGGACGUGAAAUCCCCAAGCUUAACUUGGGAACUGCAUCUGAUACUGGGUGACUUGAGUUCGGGAGAGGAAUGUGGAAUUCCAGGUGUAGCGGUGAAAUGCGCAGAUAUCAGGAGGAACACCGAUGGCGAAGGCAGGUCUCUGGGCCGAUACUGACGCUGAGGAGCGAAAGCGUGGGGAGCGAACAGG
RNAcentral lists this ribosomal RNA (253 nucleotides) under uncultured bacterium. RNAcentral describes it as "partial 16S ribosomal RNA". It matches the Rfam family "Bacterial small subunit ribosomal RNA", at positions 524 to 776 of the family's 1533-position model. The record is from RNAcentral.